Small nucleolar RNA from Arvicola amphibius (Eurasian water vole), 90 nucleotides. RefSeq annotates it as small nucleolar RNA MBII-202. The record is from RefSeq and is a predicted model, not a curated record. The transcript has a single exon. Lineage: Eukaryota; Metazoa; Chordata; Mammalia; Rodentia; Cricetidae.
UGAUGACAUUCUCCGGAAUCGCUGUACUGUCUUGAUGAAAGUACUUUUGAACCCUUUUCCAUCUGAGGGCACCGAGCGAGCUCUCUCGGC